Molecule: long non-coding RNA, 1404 nt
Organism: Panthera uncia (snow leopard)
Lineage: Eukaryota; Metazoa; Chordata; Mammalia; Carnivora; Felidae
Exons: 2
Source: RefSeq, a predicted model, not a curated record
UUUUCUAAAAAAAUUUUUUUUCUAACGUUUUAUUUUAUCUUUUGAGAGAGAGACAGAGCAAGAGCAGGGGAGGGGCAGAGAGAGAGGGAGACAUAGAAUCUGAAGCAGGCUCCAGGCUGUGAGCUGUCAGCACAGAGCCCGAUGUGGAACUUGAACCCAUGAACUCGAGAUCAUGACCUGAGCCGAAGUCGGCCGCUCAACCGACUGAACCCCCCAGGCUCCCCUACGUCACACAUUUUGAUCAGGCUUGACAAAUGUAUACCCCGGGAACCACCACCACCAUAAUCGGUAUUUAGAAUAUUUCCAUCACCCCCAGACUCCUGCUUCCCUUUUGUUGCCCACCCCUCUACCCGUGCUUUUUAAAAAUACAUGUGAGAGCUUUAUUAAGAUAUAAGUCACAUACCUUAUGACUCACCCAUUUAAAGUAUACAAUUCAAUAAGUUGUGCAACCGUCAACAUAAUCAAUUUUAGAACAUUUCCUUUACCCCAAAAAGUAACCCUGUACCCAUUAGCAGAAUCCUAGGUUUAUGUGGGACAAAAAUAGAUUUUUUUUUUUUUUUUUUUGGAAAAGCACUUGUUACCUUUUAGUAGACCUCCCUCCGUGGGGCUUCAAGCUGCCAGGACACAGCCAUUCCUACCCCUUGAUCUUCUCUUCAGCUCUUCUGUUGAAGAAUUUGGCCUUCACAAUGACAGGCUGCUUGGGGGAGCCCUCUCCUGUCCAAUACUUUGUAAUAGCCUGAUGGUACCACAUCACUGAUAGGAGCUGUUCUGUAUAUUUCAAAUAAAUGGUGUCUUCUAAUAUUUGGGCUUUCGUUAUAGGCUUUUUUCACUUAGCAUGAUGUUUUCAGGGUUGUAGUGUAAUAGGUCGACUUAUAAGAUAUCAGAAAGCUUACUGUAUAUAAGUUCGGCUUAAACUCACCUUUCAUGAAUAAUUAAGAUAAAAGCUUAUGCAGUUCCCUAUUAGGGUUAUCGGAAAUUACUAACCACCCUAUCUCGCUUCCGUAACUUCGCCUGCUUGUUAAGUAGAUAACUUAGGUUGCAAAACGCUCCCCACCCCUUCUACCAAGAUCUGGCCUAGGCAAGACCAACAUGUAAAAAGUCACGAACUCACUGCCCCACGGUAUCUUAGGUGUCUAUGAUUGGUGAUUUUAAACCCUCUUAGAACAAAGAACUUUAAAUUGAUAGGUUCCCGCCAAAACUAACGGUCUGUGUGUCACAAUAUAAUUGGCUCCCGUGAAAUGCUGUAAAUUGUCAUUGGUUAACUAAAUAAUGACGUACUCUGACUUGCUAAAAUCCAUGUAAGCUCACUGCUACCUUUGUGCGGGGCCAUUCUCUGCACUUUUCUCCUUAAGAUCAGGAGAUCAGGUUUGGCCCGGCCGUGAAUAAAAUCUUGCCUCGCUUCUA